UUCUUUGUGGUCUCAGUGGUGAGGGCGUCCGCCUCAGAUGCUGGAGGUCACGGGUUCGAACUUCGGCUGAGUAA
Potamilus streckersoni is the source of this 74-nucleotide non-coding RNA. Lineage: Eukaryota; Metazoa; Mollusca; Bivalvia; Unionida; Unionidae. The record is from the annotation of a GenBank genome assembly.